RNAcentral lists this ribosomal RNA (480 nucleotides) under uncultured bacterium. Its description in RNAcentral is "partial 16S ribosomal RNA". It matches the Rfam family "Bacterial small subunit ribosomal RNA", at positions 28 to 523 of the family's 1533-position model. The record is from RNAcentral.
GACGAAUGCUGGCUGCGUGCUUAACACAUGCAAGUCGAACGGUGAAGGGGAGCUUGCUCCCGGAUCAGUGGCGAACGGGUGAGUAACACGUGGGCAACCUGCCCCUCACUCUGGGAUAACUCCGGGAAACCGGGGCUAAUACCGGAUACGACCGGGAGCGACAUCGCUCCUGGUGGAAAGAACUUCGGUGAGGGAUGGGCCCGCGGCCUAUCAGCUAGUUGGUGGGGUAACGGCCCACCAAGGCGACGACGGGUAGCCGGCCUGAGAGGGCGACCGGCCACACUGGGACUGAGACAGGGCCCAGACUCCUACGGGAGGCAGCAGUGGGGAAUAUUGCGCAAUGGGCGAAAGCCUGACGCAGCGACGCAGCGUGAGGGACGAAGGCCUUCGGGUUGUAAACCUCUUUCAGCGGGGACGAAGCGAAAGUGACGGUACCCGCAGAAGAAGCACCGGCUAACUACGUGCCAGCCGCCGCGGUAA